This 309-nucleotide unclassified non-coding RNA is filed under the name Hevea brasiliensis (rubber tree). Lineage: Eukaryota; Viridiplantae; Streptophyta; Magnoliopsida; Malpighiales; Euphorbiaceae. The record is from RNAcentral.
AAAAUUAACAAUUGAUUCAGGUGAAAACAUCUGAAGCAAUGACAGAAGACAACGACAACCUAUGCGUUCAUUGACAUUGGCCUUAUAAGCCAGCAAGCUAUGUGACCAACUAGAAAAGAUGUAAGCACACAAGGGCACACUCACAUGGAGGUACUGGCCGAUGGGAAUAUUCAUUUACUGCUAUACUUUCAUUUAUACAUUUGACAAGCGUAUAGUACAGAGUGACUUCACGAAAAAUAUUACUAGAAAUUUGAUAUCAGUAUUAGUAAGAAUACCUACUUUAGUCCAUGAUUUGUUGCUCAAGGUUCC